UGAAAUGAGGAAACUCCCUUAGAUAAAGC
RNAcentral lists this non-coding RNA (29 nucleotides) under Homo sapiens (human). The record is from RNAcentral. Lineage: Eukaryota; Metazoa; Chordata; Mammalia; Primates; Hominidae.